AGUUCAAGAGAACGUGAAAUCGUUGAAGUGGAACCGGAGAGAGUUGACGUAGUAUGGUGGAUAAGUAUUGCAAGAAUCGCUUCAAACAAUGAAUGUGAUCGAGUAAUAUGUACGUCACCAAAGACUGCGCUGACAGCAUCGACUACACGCUCUGAACUGUGUUGACAUGUUGCCUAUUCUAGUAUAUAGAAUGGUGUCUUGUGUUACGUGGUGAAGUUUGUUGUUAUGUUGUUGAUGUUGAUAAGUAUGAUUAUACACCAAGUAUAAUUAUGUCAGUGUAAAAGUCAACCACCUCUCCGACCCGUCUUGAAACACGGACCGAGGAGUGUAACUUGUACGCGAGUCAUUGGGUGGAAAAACCUUAAGGCGAAACGAAAGUGAAGGCACGGUUAACCGGCUGACAUGGGAAACGUGCGGUAUUGUUAGCGAGACGUUACACCAUGGCCCUGUCUUGUCUGCAUGCAGAUGGGCAGCGGUAGAGCGUACAGGUUGCGACCCGAAAGAUGGUGAACUAUGCCUGAGCAGGACGAAGUCAGAGGAAACUCUGGUGGAAGUCCGUAUCGGUUCUGACGUGCAAAUCGAUCGAUAGACUUGGGUAUAGGGGCGAAAGACU
This 613-nucleotide ribosomal RNA is filed under the name Crenosoma striatum. Its description in RNAcentral is "eukaryotic LSU rRNA". It matches the Rfam family "Eukaryotic large subunit ribosomal RNA", at positions 386 to 932 of the family's 3401-position model. The record is from RNAcentral. Lineage: Eukaryota; Metazoa; Nematoda; Chromadorea; Rhabditida; Crenosomatidae.